GACAGAGGGGGCAAGCGUUGCUCGGAAUCACUGGGCGUAAAGGGCGCGUAGGCGGGAUGGCAAGUCGGUCGUGAAAUCCUUCGGCUCAACCGAAGAACGUCGGCCGAUACUGCCGUUCUUGAGGGAUGCAGAGGAGAUUGGAAUUCCGGGUGUAGUGGUGAAAUGCGUAGAGAUCCGGAGGAACCCCAGAGGCGAAGGCGGCAGCCUGGUUGGUAUCUGACGCUCGGACACGACAGCAUGGGGAGCGAACGGG
RNAcentral lists this ribosomal RNA (253 nucleotides) under uncultured bacterium. RNAcentral's name for it is "partial 16S ribosomal RNA". It matches the Rfam family "Bacterial small subunit ribosomal RNA", at positions 524 to 776 of the family's 1533-position model. The record is from RNAcentral.